This 280-nucleotide unclassified non-coding RNA is filed under the name Hevea brasiliensis (rubber tree). The record is from RNAcentral. Lineage: Eukaryota; Viridiplantae; Streptophyta; Magnoliopsida; Malpighiales; Euphorbiaceae.
CCCAGUUAUUAUUGGUGGAUGAAGUGAUUCGGGCUGGGCGGAAUAUGAGGAAACCAAAUUAAAACUUGAGAAUUCUCCGGCAUGUACUUUUUGCCUCUGCUUUCUCGAUGUGUAACGAAGUCAAGUGAUGUAACGGAGGAUGGUUGUGUUUUGGAGAUUGUGCUAGGGAGAAUGAUCUUGUGGAGUUUUGUUUAGGAACGAACACUCACCAUGUUAUGUGCUUAUCCGAUUGUCUUUCCAUAUUAACAACCAUUCUUUUGAAGUCGCACAUUGGCUGGCC